RNAcentral lists this ribosomal RNA (238 nucleotides) under uncultured bacterium. RNAcentral describes it as "partial 16S ribosomal RNA". It matches the Rfam family "Bacterial small subunit ribosomal RNA", at positions 114 to 334 of the family's 1533-position model. The record is from RNAcentral.
CACGUGGGCAACCUGCCCCGAAGCGGGGACAACGGCUUGAAAGAGCCGCUAAUACCGCAUGUGCAUUCUUCCCGGCAUCGGGUGGUAUUGCAAAGGGCUUCGGUCGUAAGGCCGUGGCUCGCUUCGGGAUGGGCCCGCGGCCUAUCAGCUAGUUGGGGGGGUAACGGCCCACCAAGGCUUCGACGGGUAGCUGGUCUGAGAGGACGAUCAGCCGGAUUGGGACUGAGAUACGGCCCAG